RNAcentral lists this ribosomal RNA (252 nucleotides) under uncultured Gardnerella sp. RNAcentral's name for it is "partial 16S ribosomal RNA". It matches the Rfam family "Bacterial small subunit ribosomal RNA", at positions 100 to 354 of the family's 1533-position model. The record is from RNAcentral. Lineage: Bacteria; Bacillati; Actinomycetota; Actinomycetes; Bifidobacteriales; Bifidobacteriaceae.
CGGGUAGAGUAAUGCGUGACCAACCUGCCCAUGCUCCAGAAUAGCUCUUGGAAACGGGUGGUAAUGCUGGAUGCUCCAACUUGACGCAUGUCUUGUUGGGAAAGUGUUUAGUGGCAUGGGAUGGGGUCGCGUCCUAUCAGCUUGUAGGCGGGGUAAUGGCCCACCUAGGCUUCGACGGGUAGCCGGCCUGAGAGGGCGGACGGCCACAUUGGGACUGAGAUACGGCCCAGACUCCUACGGGAGGCAGCAGAC